Molecule: ribosomal RNA, 168 nt
Filed under: Ptilichthys goodei (quillfish)
Lineage: Eukaryota; Metazoa; Chordata; Actinopteri; Perciformes; Ptilichthyidae
Description: partial 12S rRNA
Source: RNAcentral
CACCGCGGUUAUACGAGAGGCCCAAGUUGACAGAAAUCGGCGUAAAGAGUGGUUAAGUAAAAUUUGCACUAAAGCCGAACGUCCUCAAGGCUGUUAUACGCAUCCGAAGAUAAGAAGUUCAACCACGAAGGUGGCUUUAUUUAGUCUGAGCCCACGAAAGCUACGGCA